AUGGAGAAUUGAUGAACGCUGUUCAUCAAUAAAGUUUCCGUGUUUCGUUUUGUUCAGUUUUGAGAGAACUAUCUCUCAUAUAUAAAUGUAUGUUCUUUGAAAACUAGAUAACAGUGUAGCUCAUAUUUUUUAAUUUUUAGUUU
RNAcentral lists this unclassified non-coding RNA (143 nucleotides) under Bacillus cereus. RNAcentral's name for it is "partial 16S-23S ribosomal RNA intergenic spacer". RNAcentral also lists the same sequence under 4 other names. Lineage: Bacteria; Bacillati; Bacillota; Bacilli; Caryophanales; Bacillaceae. The record is from RNAcentral.